This 66-nucleotide transfer RNA is filed under the name Blattisocius tarsalis. RNAcentral describes it as "tRNA-Val". The record is from RNAcentral. Lineage: Eukaryota; Metazoa; Arthropoda; Arachnida; Mesostigmata; Blattisociidae.
GAAAAUAUAAUCUAUAUGAAAGAUUUAUCAUUUACAUUGAUACUAAGUAGUAAAAUUACUGUUUUU